This 404-nucleotide long non-coding RNA is filed under the name Macaca mulatta (Rhesus monkey). RNAcentral describes it as "lncRNA (ENSMMUG00000052134.1)". Lineage: Eukaryota; Metazoa; Chordata; Mammalia; Primates; Cercopithecidae. The record is from RNAcentral.
AGAGGAACCAGUGGAUUCGAGACAGGAAGUGGAAGGAGCUCAGGAAGGAGUGAGCCGUCUCAGGGUGGGAGGCUCAGGAGCCAGCAGGGUGCAUAUCUCUGUGGCAGAGGAUACCCCGGGCACAGUGGAUGACAGUGGCUGUGGCUGGACUCGGGAUCUAUACAACCUGGCGUUUGGCCGUGGCUUCCAGGACAGGCUGGAUGCAGAGUGAAGUCCUCUCCUGUCAAUGUUUGCAGAUGUCUUCCUGUAUAAACUUCAUAUUUCUUGAGACUUUCAAUUAGGUUUUUACUUAACUAGACUUUUUUAUAUUACUAAAGUUCUAGAGUACAUGUGCAUAACAUGCAGGUUUGUUACAUAUGUAUACUUGUGCCAUGUUGGUGUGCUACACCCAUCAACUCGUCAUU